ACGCUCGACACCUACGGGAAGCAGCAGUAGGGAAUUUUCGUCAAUGGGGGGAACCCUGAACGAGCAAUGCCGCGUGAGUGAAGAAGGUCUUCGGAUCGUAAAGCUCUGUUGUAAGAGAAAAAGGGCGCAUAUAGGAAAUGAUAUGCGAUUGAUGGUAUCUUACCAGAAAGCCACGGCUAACUACGUGUCAGCAGCCGCGGUAAUCUGAGCGGGCUGGCAAGGC
This 223-nucleotide ribosomal RNA is filed under the name uncultured bacterium. RNAcentral describes it as "partial 16S ribosomal RNA". It matches the Rfam family "Bacterial small subunit ribosomal RNA", at positions 326 to 539 of the family's 1533-position model. The record is from RNAcentral.